CUCUUCCUUUCAAAGGAUGGCAUUUUAAUGUUGCUUUGCUGCCAGAUGUUCAUCUGCUUGCUGUGAAGUGAUUCUUUUUUUAAAAUGUUUUUUAAUGAUGUAAGUUUUCUAAAAGGCAGGGCUGAAUGGAGAACCAAGAAUUUGCUUGGUAGAAAAAUUAUUUUUUUUUAAUUUCAGACUUAUCAAAAAUUUGGUUGAGGGAAUUUUUAUUAGCUGCCCUGACUUUAUAAUGCUACGCUCUUAACAGUGCCAAAAAUCCUACAUAGUUACUGACAAAUGUGUGAUCUUUUUACAGUCACAACACCUGCUGCCCGGAAAGCACACCGUCCACGUAGAAUGGAGAAGGCAGAAAGUUACCGUGUGUUCCCACUGUAUCUGCACUGUUCUUACUUCCUCUUGUCCCUUUUCAUAUCUUGGUCUAUUCAGCCUUAACAUUUCAAAGGCUUAUAGUAAAAUAGGAACUGAAGAUCUGUAUCAAAAUGUAACACUUUCAUCCUUUGGAAUAAUUGAAGUUUAACAUAACCUCUACAUGUAUAUAAGUUAGCUGGUGAAAAUGUGGCAUGAAACUUCACAAUUGUGCUUCAGGCCUAAGUGACUGCUACCUAUGAUUUAAGUGACAGUAAAUGUCUUGCUACAUUUUUCUAUUUCAUCCUCUACAAUCAUAUGUCAUGGAAUGGAGCUAUGAAAUGUGCUAACUUGGUAUUCAGGAUUCUCAUUGUGAUAAGGUGAUACAUUAGUUUUACCUUGUUUGAAAUUUUACAAAAAUGCUUACAAUCCAGGCAUUCUUUCUCUACCUAUUAUGAACUACGGUGUGUUAAACAACAGCAGUGGGCUGGGCAGACAACCUUUGGGCAGUCUCAACCUUAAUCCUUGGGUACAGCACCUGAACUUAAUUGAUGAGAAGUGGAACUUAAGUGGUUUCCCUGGUGCUGUUCAUUAUGGAAAUUUUAUGCUGGAUUUAUCGAUGUCAUUCUUAAUCUUUUGAUACUAUAAAGGAGUCUUACCAACUGGAGAAAAUUUGCCUACAUGCUAUAUAUUUGAAUUGUGUCCAAAGCUUUGCAGAAAAGCAAAUCUGAAGUUAUUAUAUAUGUUGUUUUCUUGAGCAACAGUUACACUAGGUAGAAAAGUAUUCACACAAUAAUAGUAAUGCAAAAAAAGUGAGCUACUUGGAAAGUAUCAUCUCUGUUCAGGUAAGUUUACUUCAGUGAACUCUUGUGUGGUUAGCGAUAAGUUUUAAAGUCCAGGAUAGCCUCAUGAGCAUAGGCCUUCCUAUGAAGUAGUGCAAAGGGGGCCGAUUUUAGUGGAUUACCCUAUCAGUGUUCUUCAGUAUGUCCAAUUGUUAUCAUACCAAAAACCUUAAUUACAUAACAUUGUGUGGAUGAAAUGCUGCAUCUUCAGUUAAUACAUGUUUUGAGCACAUUCUUAAAAUACAUAAUAAUUAAAUGAUCCCUAUUCAAAA
Molecule: long non-coding RNA, 1459 nt
Filed under: Homo sapiens (human)
Lineage: Eukaryota; Metazoa; Chordata; Mammalia; Primates; Hominidae
Description: non-protein coding lnc-MEF2A-2:1
Source: RNAcentral